RNAcentral lists this ribosomal RNA (441 nucleotides) under uncultured bacterium. RNAcentral describes it as "bacterial SSU rRNA". It matches the Rfam family "Bacterial small subunit ribosomal RNA", at positions 339 to 796 of the family's 1533-position model. The record is from RNAcentral.
CUACGGGAGGCAGCAGUGAGGAAUAUUGGUCAAUGGGCGCAAGCCUGAACCAGCGACGCCGCGUGGGUGAAGAAGGCCUUCGGGUCGUAAAGCCCUUUUCUGUGUGUAGAGAGAGGACGGUAGCACAGGAAUAAGCGUCGGCUAACUACGUGCCAGCAGCCGCGGUAAAACGUAGGACGCAAGCGUUAUCCGGAAUUACUGGGCGUAAAGGGCGUGCAGGCGGUUCUUUAAGUUAGGCGUGAAAGCUCCGGGCUAAACCUGGAGAGGUCGUCUGAUACUGGGGAACUAGAGUGUGGUAGAGGGGUGUAGAAUUCCGGGUGUAGUGGUGAAAUGCGUAGAUAUCCGGAGGAAUACCAGUGGCGAAGGCGGCACCCUGGGCCAUAACUGACGCUAAGACGCGAAAGCAUGGGUAGCGAACGGGAUUAGAUACCCUAGUAGUCC